Molecule: ribosomal RNA, 468 nt
Filed under: uncultured bacterium
Lineage: Bacteria
Description: partial 16S ribosomal RNA
Rfam family: Bacterial small subunit ribosomal RNA
Source: RNAcentral
GACGAACGCUGGCGGCGUGCUUAACACAUGCAAGUCGAACGGAAAGGCCCUGCUUUUGUGGGGUGCUCGAGUGGCGAACGGGUAAGUAACACGUGAGUAACCUGCCCUUGACUUUGGGAUAACUUCAGGAAACUGGGGCUAAUACCGGAUAGGAGCUCCUGCUGCAUGGUGGGGGUUGGAAAGUUUCGGCGGUUGGGGAUGGACUCGCGGCUUAUCAGCUUGUUGGUGGGGUAGUGGCUUACCAAGGCUUUGACGGGUAGCCGGCCUGAGAGGGUGACCGGCCACAUUGGGACUGAGAUACGGCCCAGACUCCUACGGGAGGCAGCAGUGGGGAAUAUUGCACAAUGGGCGGAAGCCUGAUGCAGCAACGCCGCGUGCGGGAUGACGGCCUUCGGGUUGUAAACCGCUUUCGCCUGCGACGAAGCGUGAGUGACGGUAAUGGGUAAAGAAGCACCGGCUAACUACGUG